AUUUAUGAUGUCCAUUCCUGGAGAGCGGCAGAUUUUCAAAAGCAAAUGAUAGUGAUUGCAGACUUGAUCCAAUGAAGAUGUAGGAAUGAUUAUUCUCAUUAACGGGGCUGUCAAAACAAUGCUUUGCCCAUUUAUGUGCACUGCUGCUAAACAGUUCUUGAUCUCAGGACCCUUAAUGACGUACGCUGUCAUCCACAGCGUUGCUGGCUGUGCCUGCCCCUAAGGCACCCCUGUGGCUCUGGAUGACCUCCUUGUGCUUGAAGUUCAAAGCCUGCUUCAUUUCACAUCAGCUCCUGCGCCCCGCGAAGCAUCGCCUGCAGGGAGCGAGGCCGCCCAGGCAAGGGCAAGCUGCCUCUGCUCCUCGGCACCAGUCCUGUGGGGGAUUUGGUCCCGUCGGUCUGGAGCCUUUGGGCCUGCGUUGGCUUCGGUUCAUCGAUGAGGCGUUGACGUUGCAGCUAUCAGUGGAACAGCUGUAGCUUGGGUUUAUAAGAGGUAAGGACAAUAUUUUUUUUUUGAUAAAGUAUCUCAAACUGGACUUGCCGAAUAAGUCAUGCCUCAGAUAAUUUAGUCCAGAAUAAACAUUUUUGUAUAGGCA
RNAcentral lists this long non-coding RNA (595 nucleotides) under Anser cygnoides (Swan goose). RNAcentral's name for it is "lncRNA (ENSACDG00005019178.1)". The record is from RNAcentral. Lineage: Eukaryota; Metazoa; Chordata; Aves; Anseriformes; Anatidae.